AAUAGGUUGGAAGCUGCCGUGUUGGAUCUGGUUGCAGAUGAUAGUGGUGGCAUGCAGAAACAAAAAUCUAGAUUCCACUGGGAUAAGAGGAGUAAGAAGUACAUCAAGUUAAACAAUGGGGACCAUGUGACAGCUAGUGGAAAGAUAAAGACAGAGGGUGGUGCAAAAGUAACAGCUAACAAAACUGGCAUAUACAAGAGGUGAAAAGAGCGGUCACACAAUAAAAUAUCCCUUAAAGGAUCCAGUUAUGAGGGCAAUGCUGAAGAAUCCAAAAGUUUUUCAGGUGAGUGCUUUAAAAUCAGAAACUAUUUGUAUUCAUUCGGGCUCUUGUUCUUUUGAAUUUUGCUGUUCUGUAAUUCUGGAGUCAACACAACUGAGAGAAGUCGUAGGUUUUUGUAUGUAAAUUGCUGACAGAUUGUUUAUAGAUUCUUCUGGGAGUGAGCAACUAUAGGAAACAUUUGGCCUUUUUUUUUUUAACUAAAUGAAAUAUGUGUUUUGACUUGAAACUUUUGACUUAUUUUGUGAAGAUACACCUAUUUUUGCAGAAAUCUUGCAAUUACUCUUGACUGAAUUGUUGCAUUUGGUGCACUAUAUUGAUCACUUGUUUCGAACAAUGUAAAUAAGAGCUAAGGGAAUUUUAUGGUUGACACAUUGUGCAGAAAAGCUGUUAAUCUGAUCUGAGAAGUUUUUGUUGGAUCAAUUGUUAAGAUCCUUUUGCUUUAUAGGAAAGACUACUUUACACAUUAAGAAAAAUAUGCAUAUUUUAUUUUUUGAUUAUGAUUUAUUAUGAUUGGCAUGCAAAAGUUUGAUUGUUAAUUUUUAACUUGUGAGAGAGAAUUAGAUUUGGUUGUUGUUUUCAAAGAUCAGAACCCAACGUGCAUAAAAAAUCUUACUAUCUGGUUGUCCUCAUAUGGAGGUUUUUGAAUUGAGUUGAGUGUACUGUAGGAGUCACAUGCUCGUAGGCUUGGAAGCAUUAUUUUCAGAGUGAGUUUGAAGGAAUGAUGGGGUUUUUUUUUGU
Non-coding RNA from Camellia sinensis, 1018 nucleotides. The record is from RefSeq and is a predicted model, not a curated record. Lineage: Eukaryota; Viridiplantae; Streptophyta; Magnoliopsida; Ericales; Theaceae.